This 427-nucleotide ribosomal RNA is filed under the name uncultured bacterium. RNAcentral describes it as "partial 16S ribosomal RNA". It matches the Rfam family "Bacterial small subunit ribosomal RNA", at positions 355 to 774 of the family's 1533-position model. The record is from RNAcentral.
UGGGGAAUAUUGGACAAUGGGCGAAAGCCUGAUCCAGCCAUGCCGCGUGUGUGAAGAAGGUCUUCGGAUUGUAAAGCACUUUAAGUUGGGAGGAAGGGCAUUAACCUAAUACGUUAGUGUUUUGACGUUACCGACAGAAUAAGCACCGGCUAACUCUGUGCCAGCAGCCGCGGUAAUACAGAGGGGGCAAGCGUUAAUCGGAAUUACUGGGCGUAAAGCGCGCGUAGGUGGUUUGUUAAGUUGGAUGUGAAAGCCCCGGGCUCAUCCUGGGAACUGCAUCCAAAACUGGCAAGCUAGAGUACGGUAGAGGGUGGUGGAAUUUCCUGUGUAGCGGUGAAAUGCGUAGAUAUAGGAAGGAACACCAGUGGCGAAGGCGACCACCUGGACUGAUACUGACACUGAGGUGCGAAAGCGUGGGGAGCAAACA